UACGAAGGGGACUAGCGUUGUUCGGAAUUACUGGGCGUAAAGCGCACGUAGGCGGAUUUGUUAGUCAGGUGUGAAACCUCCAGGCUCAACCUGGAGACGCCACCUGAUACUGCUGUGGCUAGAGUCCGGUAGGGGAGCGUGGAAUUCCUGGUGUAGCGGUGAAAUGCGCAGAUAUCAGGAGGAACACCAGCGGCGAAGGCGGCGCUCUGGGCCGGAACUGACGCUGAGGCGCGAAAGCGUGGGGAGCGAACAGG
Molecule: ribosomal RNA, 254 nt
Filed under: uncultured bacterium
Lineage: Bacteria
Description: partial 16S ribosomal RNA
Rfam family: Bacterial small subunit ribosomal RNA
Source: RNAcentral